AACCAUUGAUAGUUAUCAAAAUACUCUCUCUUUGUCCUUCUCCACUCUGUUUACGAUCAAUUCUUGACUCCUUUCUUAAAUAAAAAAAACACCAAGUCUCGUGGGUUUUUAGGCUCUUGAUUUUGAUCCGCAAUCAUGCUCAAAAACCCAAUUAAGCCUCCCUAAAUUCUCUAAUUUUUAUCUAAUACGUUUCACUGUCUGCUUUCGUGUUCUCUCAAAUUUUAUGUUCUUCAUCAAUUCGUGCUUUUACAUUAGAUUUUGUGUAUGUGAACCGAGAGGUAUAGAGGCUGCUCUGAUAUGCACAAACAGGAUGGCCCCAACACCGGAAUGACAAACCUUCACAUCAAAUUUCUCGGCUAUGCUGGACACAUUGACACAACUGAUUGCGCGAUAAAAAUAUGGGGUUGUUGUGAACGGAACAGGGAAUUCAACAGUUUAUGCAUUCCAUGAGUGCAUGAAAGACCACGACCAAAUAUAUUGUAAUCUCUGCUUCGCCCAGUGGAAGACCCGGAUCCUGCGUUGCCGCCCUUUUCAACAAGCCACCCGAGGAGGUAGAAAAGGUAUUCCACACACAAGUUCUAUAACAAUUCGGGAAGUUUCGCAACAGGAGGACCUAGAGGGCGUAGCAAGUUAGCUAUGAUUCUGGCUGUCACAUCUUCUGUUGUGGCCUUUGUGUUGAUUGUUGCAGUGACCAUUUUCUUAGUGAAGAUCAAAGUUGUGAAGAAGAGGAGAGAAAGGAAGGAACUGGGUGCUCUAUUGGCAACUGUGAACAAGUCCAAGCUCAAUUUCUCAUACGAAAUGCUUGAGAAGGUGACAAAUUAUUUCCACCAAUCUAAUAAGCUCGGACAUGGAGGAUCUGGUGCAGUUUACAAAGUGAGUUAUGCUUUCAAGAUCAUUUUCUCCGCUGAGAAUUAGCACUUGCUGGACCUGAGAGCAUUCUUGUUUAUGAAUAUGUGCCUAAUCAAAGUCUUUACGAUUACCUCUUUGCACAUUCAACUGUUUUCUUGAUUAGCGCGGGACUGUUCGCGAAAUCAGAAAGGAAGGGUUAGCAACAUCGUGGCAACUUCACUUUGAUUAGACUUGCUGCAAUGCUACCAUUCCAACCCUAUCAGACGGUGAGGAAGUGGCUUGCGUCUGUCAAUUCCGAUGUUUAUUUGGUGUUCUUCUUAUUGAAGUUAUUUGUGGAAAGAAGAACAAUUCCUUCUCUCAAGAUUCAGUUCCUAUGCUACACAUGGUAAAUUUUAGUUCAGUUCCCAAAUGAAUAAUAUUAUCUAUUCUAUUUCU
This is a long non-coding RNA of Tripterygium wilfordii, 1284 nucleotides long. RefSeq lists it as uncharacterized. The transcript has 4 exons. Lineage: Eukaryota; Viridiplantae; Streptophyta; Magnoliopsida; Celastrales; Celastraceae. The record is from RefSeq and is a predicted model, not a curated record.